RNAcentral lists this non-coding RNA (84 nucleotides) under bovine gut metagenome. Its description in RNAcentral is "TPP riboswitch (THI element)". It matches the Rfam family "TPP riboswitch aptamer (THI element)", at positions 7 to 92 of the family's 105-position model. From Rfam's summary of the family: Vitamin B(1) in its active form thiamin pyrophosphate (TPP) is an essential coenzyme that is synthesised by coupling of pyrimidine and thiazole moieties in bacteria. The previously detected thiamin-regulatory element, thi box was extended, resulting in a new, highly conserved RNA secondary structure, the THI element, which is widely distributed in eubacteria and also occurs in some archaea. The record is from RNAcentral.
CGUAUAGGGGUGCUUUGCGGCUGAGAUGGGAUGUUCCCGAACCCUUGACCUGAUCCGGGUAAUGCCGGCGUAGGGAAUACAAGU